RNAcentral lists this non-coding RNA (217 nucleotides) under Daphnia magna. RNAcentral describes it as "Bacterial large subunit ribosomal RNA". It matches the Rfam family "Bacterial large subunit ribosomal RNA", at positions 1426 to 1647 of the family's 2925-position model. Lineage: Eukaryota; Metazoa; Arthropoda; Branchiopoda; Diplostraca; Daphniidae. The record is from Rfam by way of RNAcentral.
CGGGUUAAUAUUCCCGUACCGACAGUACUGCGAUGGGGGGACGGAGAAGGCUAGGCAGGCAUGGCGUUGGUAGUCCAUGUGAAAGUAUGUAGGUUGGGUGUUUAGGAAAAUCCGGACGCCUAAGACUGAGAUACGAGACGAGCCACUAAGGUGGUGAAGCUGUUGAUGCCACGCUUCCAGGAAAAGCCUCUAAGCUUCAGGUACUUGUCGACCGUAC